UCGAUGUGCCUGGUGGAAGCAGU
Molecule: non-coding RNA, 23 nt
Filed under: Cricetulus griseus (Chinese hamster)
Lineage: Eukaryota; Metazoa; Chordata; Mammalia; Rodentia; Cricetidae
Source: RNAcentral